RNAcentral lists this ribosomal RNA (197 nucleotides) under uncultured bacterium. Its description in RNAcentral is "partial 16S ribosomal RNA". It matches the Rfam family "Bacterial small subunit ribosomal RNA", at positions 1304 to 1500 of the family's 1533-position model. The record is from RNAcentral.
GCUGCAACUCGCCUGCAUGAAGCUGGAAUUGCUAGUAAUCGCGGAUCAGCAAGCCGCGGUGAAUACGUUCCCGGGCCUUGUACACACCGCCCGUCACACCAUGAGAGUCGGGAACACCCGAAGUCCGUAGUCUAACCGCAAGGGGGGCGCGGCCGAAGGUGGGUCCGGUAAUUGGGGUGAAGUCGUAACAAGGUACC